This 448-nucleotide ribosomal RNA is filed under the name uncultured bacterium. RNAcentral's name for it is "bacterial SSU rRNA". It matches the Rfam family "Bacterial small subunit ribosomal RNA", at positions 331 to 793 of the family's 1533-position model. The record is from RNAcentral.
CCAGACUCCUACGGGAGGCAGCAGUGGGGGAUAUUGGACAAUGGGGGAAACCCUGAUCCAGCGACGCCGCGUGAGUGAAGAAGUAUUUCGGUAUGUAAAGCUCUGUCAGCAGGGAAGAAAGAAAUGACGGUACCUGACCAAGAAGCCCCGGCUAACUACGUGCCAGCAGCCGCGGUAAUACGUAGGGGGCAAGCGUUAUCCGGAUUUACUGGGUGUAAAGGGAGCGUAGACGGCAGCGCAAGUCUGAAGUGAAAAGCCGGGGGUUAACCCCGGAACUGCUUUGGAAACUGUGCAGCUAGAGUGCAGGAGAGGUAAGUGGAAUUCCUAGUGUAGCGGUGAAAUGCGUAGAUAUUAGGAGGAACACCAGUGGCGAAGGCGGUCUGCUGGACAGCAACUGACGCUGAGGCGCGAAAGCGUGGGGAGCAAACAGGAUUAGAUACCCUAGUAA